Molecule: ribosomal RNA, 491 nt
Filed under: uncultured bacterium
Lineage: Bacteria
Description: bacterial SSU rRNA
Rfam family: Bacterial small subunit ribosomal RNA
Source: RNAcentral
GGCUCAGGACGAACGCUGGCGGCGUGCUUAACACAUGCAAGUCGAACGAGAAGAGAUGAGAAGCUUGCUUCUAUUGAUUCGAGUGGCAAACGGGUGAGUAACGCGUAAGCAACCUGCCCUUCAGAUGGGGACAACAGCUGGAAACGGCUGCUAAUACCGAAUACGUUCUUUUUGUCGCAUGGCAGAGGGAAGAAAGGGAGGCUCUUCGGAGCUUUCGCUGAAGGAUGGGGAUGCGUCUGAUUAGCUUGUUGGCGGGGUAACGGCCCACCAAGGCGACGAUCAGUAGGGGUUCUGAGAGGAAGGUCCCCCACAUUGGAACUGAGACACGGUCCAAACUCCUACGGGAGGCAGCAGUGAGGAAUAUUGGGCAAUGGGGGAAACCCUGACCCAGCAACGCCGCGUGAAGGAAGAAGGCUUUCGGGUUGUAAACUUCUUUACCAGGGACGAAGGACGUGACGGUACCUGGAGAAAAAGCCACGGCUAACUACGUG